Molecule: ribosomal RNA, 253 nt
Filed under: uncultured bacterium
Lineage: Bacteria
Description: partial 16S ribosomal RNA
Rfam family: Bacterial small subunit ribosomal RNA
Source: RNAcentral
UACGGGGGGGGCAAGCGUUGUUCGGAAUUACUGGGCGUAAAGGGCUCGUAGGCGGCCAACUAAGUCGGAUGUGAAAUCCCCAGGCUUAACCUGGGAACUGCAUCCGAUACUGGAUGGCUUGAAUCCGGGAGAGGGAUGCAGAAUUCCUGGUGUAGCGGUGAAAUGCGUAGAGAUCAGGAAGAACACCAGUGGCGAAGGCGCUCUGCUAGGCCGUAACUGACACUGAGGGACGAAAGCUAGGGGAGCGAAUGGG